CCUACGGGUGGCUGCAGUAAGGAAUAUUGGUCAAUGGACGCAAGUCUGAACCAGCCAUGCCGCGUGGAGGAUGAAGGUCCUCUGGAUUGUAAACUUCUUUUAUUUGGGAAGAAACUCCCGAUUUCCAUCGGGAUUGACGGUACCAGAUGAAUAAGCACCGGCUAACUCCGUGCCAGCAGCCGCGGUAAUACGGAGGGUGCAAGCGCUAUGCGUUUUCAGGGGGUUUAAAGGGUGCGGUGAUGGGGUGGUAAAAUCUCCGGGCUUAACCCGGGAACUGCCAUUGAUACUAUUUGUCUUGAAUACUCUGGAGGUGAGCGGAAUAUGUCAUGUAGCGGUGAAAUGCUUAGAUAUGACAUAGAACACCCAUUGCGAAGGCAGCUCACUACGGAAAUAUUGACGCUGAGGCACGAAAGCGUGGGGAUCAAACAGGAUUAGAUACCCUGGUAGUC
This 449-nucleotide ribosomal RNA is filed under the name uncultured bacterium. RNAcentral describes it as "partial 16S ribosomal RNA". It matches the Rfam family "Bacterial small subunit ribosomal RNA", at positions 338 to 795 of the family's 1533-position model. The record is from RNAcentral.